RNAcentral lists this long non-coding RNA (866 nucleotides) under Citrus sinensis (sweet orange). RNAcentral describes it as "long non-coding RNA (CSIN_LNC003624)". Lineage: Eukaryota; Viridiplantae; Streptophyta; Magnoliopsida; Sapindales; Rutaceae. The record is from RNAcentral.
GAUUACUAGUGCAUUAAAUUCUGAAAAGAAAAAGAAAAAGAAAAUUGCAGGUUGUGACCAUUCAAAGAAAGACAUUUUGGGUAUAAUAAGAUCACACUAGGUUUUCCCUACAAAACUCCAACAUAAAGCAGAAUUUCUUAAAAGAUGCGGUUUGAAGGACCCAUGGUACUCUUCAGAUAGAGGCACCUGACCUGGUAGGACCAAAAAAAAAAAAAGAAGGAUUAGACAUCAAAUGCAUAAAUGCCAAGAGAAGCAAAUACCAAAACAGACCAUACAAGAAAGAUCAAGGAAAUAGAAAACUACCCGCAGAUAAAAAAGGGGGGGAAGGGGGGGAUAUAUUCUUAAUUAUAGCAAGAAAAACAGUUUACUUUUCAUUAUUCGAACAAAAAAACAGUGUAUAUUUAAAUGGUCAAGUCGAUUUAGUGUUUUCUAAAUUUACUUCCCAGAGGAAAACAUUAAACAUCUAAACCAACUUAGAAGAAAUACAAGAGAUGGCAGGGUUACAAGAAUAAUGUGCAGCAGAAUCUUAUGGAGAUAGUUAUACAGAAGAAGUUGAGGUUCAACAACCUCAUAUUGAACUCAAAAGUACAAGUAGUGAAGCAAAAAACAGUGAGUUUGUAUAAAACAUUACCAACUACAACACCAAAAUUGACCACAGAACCAGUAGGUAAAAAUAAGGUUAGAGAUAGAAACUUACAUUCUGCCAGUUUUUCUUCAACAAUGAGACAAGGAAGUUAACACUCAUUUGAACAUUCUGGAAGAUCUGCUUCUCCUCCAUUGAAAGGUUUCCGACAGCAACUCCCAUGCAAAGCACCUUCUUCAAUUGGAACUUCACUGUUGCCUUAGUCUCGUUGACUUUGGACUCC